Small nucleolar RNA from Molossus molossus (Pallas's mastiff bat), 104 nucleotides. RefSeq annotates it as small nucleolar RNA U13. Lineage: Eukaryota; Metazoa; Chordata; Mammalia; Chiroptera; Molossidae. The record is from RefSeq and is a predicted model, not a curated record. The transcript has a single exon.
AUCCUUUUGUAGUUUGUAAGCAUGAUGAUUGGGUGUUCCUGCUCCUCUUUGAGAUGUGCCUCUGUCAUACCUCGUUACAACAUUGGCACAUGGCUUGUCUGAUG